GGAGCAAACAGGAUUAGAUACCCGGUAUUCCCCCCGUAACAAUGAUUGUUAGUGUUGGGGGUCAACCUCGGUGCCGCAGCUAACGCAUUAAGCAUUCCGCUUGGGGAUACUACCAAGUAUGAAACUCAAGGGAAAUUGACGGGACCCGCACAAGCAGCGGAGCAUGUGGUUUAAUUCGAAGCAACGCGAAGAACCUUACCAGGGCUUGACAUGCCACUGACCGCAUCAGAGAUGGUGCUUUACCUUCGGGUACAGUGGACACAGGUGGUGCAUGGUUGUCGUCAGCUCGUGUCGUGAGAUGUUGGGUUAAGUCCCGCAACGAGCGCAACCCCUGUUUCUAGUUGCCAGCAUUAAGUUGGGCACUCUAGAGAGACUGCCGAUGACAAAUCGGAGGAAGGUGGGGAUGACGUCAAAUCAUCAUGCCCUUUAUGCCCUGGGCUACACACGUGCUACAAUGGUCGGUACAACGAGGAGCAAACCAGUGAUGGCAAGCAAAUCUCUAAAAGCCGAUCCCAGUUCGGAUUGUAGGCUGCAACUCGCCUACAUGAAGUCGGAGUUGCUAGUAAUCGCGGAUCAGAAUGUCGCGGUGAAUGCGUUCCCGGGUCUUGUACACACCGCCCGUCACACCAUGGGAGUUGUCAAUACCCGAAGCCAGUGAGCUAACCAGUAAUGGAGGCAGCUGUCGAAGGUAGGGGCGAUGACUGGGGUGAAGUCGUAACAAGGUAUCCGUAA
This 732-nucleotide ribosomal RNA is filed under the name uncultured bacterium. RNAcentral's name for it is "bacterial SSU rRNA". It matches the Rfam family "Bacterial small subunit ribosomal RNA", at positions 765 to 1505 of the family's 1533-position model. The record is from RNAcentral.